UACGUAGGAGGCGAGCGUUGUCCGGAGUUACUGGGCGUAAAGCGCACGCAGGCGGUCUUGUGAGUCUCAGGUGACAGUCCCCGGCUUAACUGGGGAAGUGUCUGGGAAACUGCAAGACUUGAGGGCUUCAGAGGGACAUGGAAUUCCAGGUGGAGUGGUGAAAUGCGUAGAUAUCGGAAGGAACACCAGUGGCGAAAGCGGCUUCCUGGUCCAGCACCGACGUUCAGGCACGAAAGCGUGGGGAGCAAACAGG
This 253-nucleotide ribosomal RNA is filed under the name uncultured bacterium. RNAcentral's name for it is "partial 16S ribosomal RNA". It matches the Rfam family "Bacterial small subunit ribosomal RNA", at positions 524 to 776 of the family's 1533-position model. The record is from RNAcentral.